UCCUGGAGGACUAGAGGUUAGGCCUCGGUGCUCUCACCGCCACAGCCGGGGUUCGAUUCCCAGUCAGGGAA
RNAcentral lists this transfer RNA (71 nucleotides) under Pangasianodon gigas (Mekong giant catfish). Its description in RNAcentral is "tRNA-Glu". Lineage: Eukaryota; Metazoa; Chordata; Actinopteri; Siluriformes; Pangasiidae. The record is from RNAcentral.